GGAUAACCUGGUAAUUCUAUGGCUAAUACAUGCGCAAAUACUAUACCUUAACGGCAUAGUAGUGUUUAUUAGAUACAGAACCAACACGCUCCAUUUUGGGGUGUAAAAGAUGGUGAUUCAUAGUAACCGAACGGAUCGCAUUAUGAUCAUAUUUUUAUGAUUGGCGAUAGAUCAUUCAAGUUUCUGACCUAUCAGCUUUCGACGGUAGUGUAUUGGACUACCGUGGCAGUGACGGGUAACGGGGAAUUAGGGUUCGAUUCCGGAGAGGGAGCCUGAGAAACGGCUACCACAUCUAAGGAAGGCAGCAGGCGCGCAAAUUACCCAAUCCUGACUCAGGGAGGUAGUGACAAGAAAUAACAACACUGGAAAUUUUAUUUCUAGUGAUUGGAAUGAUGGGAAUUUAAACCCCUUUCAGAGUAACAAUUGGAGGGCAAGUCUGGUGCCAGCAGCCGCGGUAAUUCCAGCUCCAAUAGCGUAUAUUAAAGUUGUUGCAGUUAAAAAGCUCGUAGUUGGAUAUCUGCUGGAAGCAAUCAGUCCGCCCUAUUCAGGGUGUGCACUUGAUGAAUUCUGGCAUCUAUUAUUCCUAAUAUGAUGAUGGCUUUCAGUAGUCAUCAUUAGUGUUGGGAAUAAUACGGUUACUUUGAGAAAAUUAGAGUGUUUGAAGCAGGCUUAUUGCCUUGAAUACUGCAGCAUGGAAUAACAAUAUAGGAUUUCGGUUCUAUUUUGUUGGUUUCUAGGACUGAAAUAAUGGUUAAUAGGGACAGUUGGGGGCAUUCGUAUUUAACUGUCAGAGGUGAAAUUCUUAGAUUUGUUAAAGACGAACUACUGCGAAAGCAUUUGCC
This 842-nucleotide ribosomal RNA is filed under the name Sarcocystis sinensis. Its description in RNAcentral is "SSU rRNA". It matches the Rfam family "Eukaryotic small subunit ribosomal RNA", at positions 141 to 959 of the family's 1831-position model. Lineage: Eukaryota; Apicomplexa; Conoidasida; Eucoccidiorida; Sarcocystidae. The record is from RNAcentral.